Molecule: non-coding RNA, 45 nt
Filed under: Trichobilharzia regenti
Lineage: Eukaryota; Metazoa; Platyhelminthes; Trematoda; Strigeidida; Schistosomatidae
Source: RNAcentral
GUCCAGCUGACGAGGCCUAAAUAGGACUAAAUGCGCCUCCUGGAU